GGGGCCGUAGCUCAGCUGGGAGAGCGUCCGGAUGGCAUCCGGAAGGUCAGGGGUUCGAGCCCCCUCGGCUCCA
This 73-nucleotide transfer RNA is filed under the name Thermoleophilia bacterium. Its description in RNAcentral is "tRNA-Ala". It matches the Rfam family "tRNA". From Rfam's summary of the family: Transfer RNA (tRNA) molecules are approximately 80 nucleotides in length. Their secondary structure includes four short double-helical elements and three loops (D, anti-codon, and T loops). The record is from RNAcentral. Lineage: Bacteria; Bacillati; Actinomycetota; Thermoleophilia.